RNAcentral lists this ribosomal RNA (393 nucleotides) under uncultured bacterium. RNAcentral describes it as "partial 16S ribosomal RNA". It matches the Rfam family "Bacterial small subunit ribosomal RNA", at positions 523 to 918 of the family's 1533-position model. The record is from RNAcentral.
AUACGUAGGGGGCAAGCGUUAUCCGGAUUUACUGGGCGUAAAGGGCGUGUAGGCGGUCUUGCAAGUCAGAAGUGAAAUUCCUGAGCUCAACUCGGGCGCUGCUUCUGAAACUGCAGGACUUGAGUGCUGGAGGGGAUAGCGGAAUUCCUAGUGGAGCGGUAAAAUGCGCAGAUAUUAGGAAGAACACCGGUGGCGAAGGCGGCUAUCUGGACAGUAACUGACGCUGAGGCGCGAAAGCGUGGGGAGCAAACAGGAUUAGAUACCCUGGUAGUCCACGCCGUAAACGAUGGGCGCUCGUCGUCGGCGGCAGACAGUCGGCGGCCAAGCGAAAGCGAUAAGCGCCCCACCUGGGGAGUACGGUCGCAAGGCUGAAACUCAAAUGAAUUGGCGGGG